Molecule: long non-coding RNA, 258 nt
Organism: Cucurbita maxima (winter squash)
Lineage: Eukaryota; Viridiplantae; Streptophyta; Magnoliopsida; Cucurbitales; Cucurbitaceae
Exons: 3
Source: RefSeq, a predicted model, not a curated record
UAUACAACCCCUUAGUGAAAAGAUUUUAGUUAGAAGGGAUGUAAUAUUUAAUGAAAACAUGAGUUGGGAUUGGAGUAAAGAACAGGAGCAGCAAAAGAUUACAAUUGAAGUUUCUUCAAAUGAAGAGACAAGGGUCAACUCCAGUGCAUCUCCUAGUGUCUCCACUGCAACACAAAAUGUGUCAAAUUCAUCAUCUUCAACAUCACUAAACAGCAAUUCUUCUCUUGAAGAACUUUUAGAUGAGACACCUCCAAGGAA